UGGCUCGUUAUGGAAAUCACGGCUGUAGCGUGAGGACUUUGGCUACCUGUAAACGUGCCAAUAGUAUCUGGACACGGGACUAUUCCCCUGUGCUGAGUGAAAGACACGUGUAAAUGGUCAGAGUCGGAAGGAAUGUGGUGCCAGAUGGAAACAACAUAAACAGCUGGGAGACUUCAUCCGGGAUUUCAAGCGAGGAUGGGAGACUUACAUUCUCGCCGUCCACUAGUUCCAAAGGUGGUUUAGAUACACCUACUUCUCCGGGGAAGGAUUUUGCUUUGGAGCGUCGUGAUUUGACCUGUUGGGCAACUGUUUUCUGAGCAACUCUGGAGACAUGCCAGCCACUUGAGGUGAAUCAAGCAGUGGCAGGGACAGGACCUACCUGGGCUGAAGUUUUAAUCCCAGGCACGUGGCAUUUGCUCAAGCAAUCACUGAUCGUGGAAUCUGUUAUUUUUUCAGUCUAUUUUCUUCCACGAAACAAUUGCUGAGUUACCUCAGUGCACUGUAAAUACUGCAGCAGGGUGUGA
This is a long non-coding RNA of Manacus vitellinus (golden-collared manakin), 524 nucleotides long. RefSeq lists it as uncharacterized. The transcript is spliced from 3 exons. The record is from RefSeq and is a predicted model, not a curated record. Lineage: Eukaryota; Metazoa; Chordata; Aves; Passeriformes; Pipridae.